This 367-nucleotide ribosomal RNA is filed under the name uncultured bacterium. RNAcentral's name for it is "bacterial SSU rRNA". It matches the Rfam family "Bacterial small subunit ribosomal RNA", at positions 32 to 371 of the family's 1533-position model. The record is from RNAcentral.
AAUCAACGCUGGCGGCGUGCCUCAGACAUGCAAGUCGAACGCGAAAGUUUCCUUCGGGAGAUGAGUAGAGUGGCGCACGGGUGAGUAACACGUGAGUAAUUUACCUCGGGUGGGGAAUACUAACCGGAAACGGUUGUUAAUACCGCAUAAUGCAGCGGCAUCAAUGAAUGACAGUUGUUAAAGCGGGGGAGUUGGAGGCAAUCCGACCUCGCGCCUGAAGAGAAGCCGCGGCAGAUUAGCUAGUUGGUAAGGUAAUGGCUUACCAAGGCGACGAUCGUGUAACCGGCCUGAGAGGGCGGUCGGUCACACUGACACUGAAUAACGGGUCAGACUCCUACGGGAGGCAGCAGUCGGGAAUUUUGGGCAA